UGGGGAAUUUUCGUCAAUGGGCGCAAGCCUGAACGAGCAAUGCCGCGUGAACGAGGAAGGUCUUCGGAUCGUAAAGUUCUGUUGAAGGGGAAAAAGAGCGGAGAGAGGAAAUGCUUUCUGAUUGAUAUUACCCUUCGAGGAAGUCACGGCUAACUACGUGCC
This 162-nucleotide ribosomal RNA is filed under the name uncultured bacterium. RNAcentral's name for it is "partial 16S ribosomal RNA". It matches the Rfam family "Bacterial small subunit ribosomal RNA", at positions 355 to 509 of the family's 1533-position model. The record is from RNAcentral.